Molecule: unclassified non-coding RNA, 608 nt
Filed under: Hevea brasiliensis (rubber tree)
Lineage: Eukaryota; Viridiplantae; Streptophyta; Magnoliopsida; Malpighiales; Euphorbiaceae
Source: RNAcentral
UUCUUAUCAGCCUAUAAAUUCUCCAUUUCUCUGUGUUUGCCAAGCUCGGGUUCCAUUCAAAUUCAAUCAACAAUAAAACUGCUUCGCCAAAAUAAUAUCAAUUUUAAUUACUUUUUGCUCCAUCGAUCACCGUAACCGUCGCUAUGGGAGGAGGAGCUGUCAUGAGAGCCGCUUCUAAGGUCGCGGGUAUCGGCGUCGUCAAUAGUGGCCUCCGAGGUGUUUCUGCUGUCCCGUCCAGUGUCGCUGAACAGUCGGUGCGUAACGCCUCACGUCCGGUGUCGGCGAUCCUCUCUUCAUCGCAGACUGGGACUGCAGAUGGCAUGGAAAUCGCUGGAGUUCAGCGUUCGGCUUGGGAGCUGCACGAUUGGGAGUUUGCUGGCGGUGAGGAGGAGCAGUUGCUCGAAUCUAGCGACCCGGUGCCAAGAGUCGUGUUCGGGCCGGCACCGAGCCUGCAGGAGGCGAAAUCGGCCACUAGUGAAUUGAAGGAUGCUCUGGAGAAAGUGUAUACAUCAUCUUCUCCUUACACGGGAUCUGGUGGUUCAUUUGGAGAUGGUCAGCUGUCAGGCCUAACUUUGCGUGCAAACUCAGACUAUUUGGAGAACAAAAGC